UUCAGGGGUAAACCUGCGAAACUCGAAUGAACGAACGGAGAGAUUCAUCGUCAUUCCGGGGCGUACUGUGGCGCGCCGCGAUGCACCGGUCGUCAUUGUCGACGUACUCGGACGGCGUGCACUUCUCUCUUAGUAUGCAUCGCGACCCGUUCGCGGUCUAAGCGACGCCCGGGAGCCGGGCGGCCGGACGGUAUUGAAUGAAACGCGCACGCGUCUCGACGCGUCCGGCCCGACGCGAGCGACGUCGUCCUGCCAGUGUGCGGAAGUUGACGCGACGCCGCUGCUGUCGCAGCCGUAGUCUCGGACUGUGCGCGUGUCAGUCGGCGAUGUUACAGUUUCGGGCACUCGCAGGACCCGUCUUGAAACACGGACCAAGGAGUCUAGCAUGUGUGCGAGUCAUUGAGUUAAAACUGAAAGGCGCAACGAAAGUGAAGGCGUGCGCCGCGCGCUCAGGGAGGAUGGAGAAUCGAUCUCUCGCACUCCCGAGGCGUCUCGUUUCCAAUUAGCGAAUGCAGGCGCGCUCUGAGCACAGAUGCUGGGACCCGAAAGAUGGUGAACUAUGCCUGGUCAGGUCGAAGUCAGGGGAAACCCUGAUGGAGGACCGUAGCGAUUCUGACGUGCAAAUCGAUCGUCGGAACUGGGUAUAGGGGCGAAAGACUAAUCGAACC
Molecule: ribosomal RNA, 668 nt
Filed under: Dismorphia zathoe
Lineage: Eukaryota; Metazoa; Arthropoda; Insecta; Lepidoptera; Pieridae
Description: eukaryotic LSU rRNA
Rfam family: Eukaryotic large subunit ribosomal RNA
Source: RNAcentral